GGGGGGAUGGUGUAGUGAUAUAGCACUUGGUACUAGAACCGGCGGGUUCGAAUCCCGCUCCCCCCA
Molecule: transfer RNA, 66 nt
Filed under: Cerataphis brasiliensis yeast-like symbiont
Lineage: Eukaryota; Fungi; Ascomycota
Description: tRNA-Und (NNN) (tRNA-Und-NNN-11-1)
Rfam family: tRNA
About the family: Transfer RNA (tRNA) molecules are approximately 80 nucleotides in length.
Source: RNAcentral